AGUGGGAUACCUGGGUCAAACGGUGGUUUCAUUUCAAGUUUUUAAAGGAAUCUCCAUACUACUUUCCAGAUUGGUUGCACCAUUUUGUAGUCCCACCCAGCAAU
This 104-nucleotide microRNA precursor is filed under the name Marmota monax (woodchuck). Lineage: Eukaryota; Metazoa; Chordata; Mammalia; Rodentia; Sciuridae. The record is from RNAcentral.